Molecule: ribosomal RNA, 497 nt
Filed under: uncultured bacterium
Lineage: Bacteria
Description: partial 16S ribosomal RNA
Rfam family: Bacterial small subunit ribosomal RNA
Source: RNAcentral
GAUGAACGCUGGCGGCGUGCCUAAUACAUGCAAGUCGAGCGAACAGAUAAGGAGCUUGCUCCUUUGACGUUAGCGGCGGACGGGUGAGUAACACGUGGGUAACCUACCUAUAAGACUGGAAUAACUCCGGGAAACCGGGGCUAAUGCCGGAUAACAUUUAGAACCGCAUGGUUCUAAAGUGAAAGAUGGUUUUGCUAUCACUUAUAGAUGGACCCGCGCCGUAUUAGCUAGUUGGUAAGGUAACGGCUUACCAAGGCAACGAUACGUAGCCGACCUGAGAGGGUGAUCGGCCACACUGGAACUGAGACACGGUCCAGACUCCUACGGGAGGCAGCAGUAGGGAAUCUUCCGCAAAGGGCGAAAGCCUGACGGAGCAACGCCGCGUGAGUGAUGAAGGUCUUCGGAUCGUAAAACUCUGUUAUUAGGGAAGAACAAAUGUGUAAGUAACUGUGCACGUCUUGACGGUACCUAAUCAGAAAGCCACGGCUAACUACGUG